GGAUGAGAUAGGGGAAACCCUGAUGCAGCCAUGCCGCGUGUGUGAAGAAGGCCUUAGGGUUGUAAAGCACUUUCAGUGGGGAGGAAAGGGUGGAAGCUAAUACCUUUCAUCUGUGACGUUACCCACAGAAGAAGCACCGGCUAACUCCGUGCCAGCAGCCGCGGUAAUACGGAGGGUGCAAGCGUUAAUCGGAAUAACUGGGCGUAAAGCGCACGCAGGCGGUCGGAUAAGUCAGAUGUGAAAGCCCCGG
This 250-nucleotide ribosomal RNA is filed under the name uncultured bacterium. RNAcentral's name for it is "partial 16S ribosomal RNA". It matches the Rfam family "Bacterial small subunit ribosomal RNA", at positions 366 to 606 of the family's 1533-position model. The record is from RNAcentral.